RNAcentral lists this small nucleolar RNA (50 nucleotides) under Naja naja (Indian cobra). RNAcentral describes it as "Small nucleolar RNA U82P (ENSNNAG00000005899.1)". It matches the Rfam family "Small nucleolar RNA U82P". The record is from Rfam by way of RNAcentral. RNAcentral also lists the same sequence under 1 other name. Lineage: Eukaryota; Metazoa; Chordata; Lepidosauria; Squamata; Elapidae.
GGGCUGAUGAAGGGCUGUGCCAAUCCCCCUCUGUGCUCUGCUCCUUGAAG